RNAcentral lists this ribosomal RNA (728 nucleotides) under Haliotrema sp. 1 TY-2005. Its description in RNAcentral is "eukaryotic LSU rRNA". It matches the Rfam family "Eukaryotic large subunit ribosomal RNA", at positions 84 to 632 of the family's 3401-position model. Lineage: Eukaryota; Metazoa; Platyhelminthes; Monogenea; Dactylogyridea; Ancyrocephalidae. The record is from RNAcentral.
UAACGGCGAGUGAACGGGGAUUAGCCCAUCACCGAAGCCCGCGUGUUGUUGCAUGCAGGGCAAUGUGGUGUUAAGGCUUGCACCUGGGACUGUGAACCUACCAAAAGUCCAGCUCCGAUUCUGGCUUAUUGUUUUCCGUAGCGGGUGAAAGACCCGUGAUGGUGGGUAUGUUGUUCGUAGCAGUCCUCAGAUGUGCAUGCCUACGAGUCGGAUUGCUUGAGAAUGCAGUCCAAAGUGGGUGGUAAACUCCAUCCAAGGCUAAAUACUGGCAUGAGUCCGAUAGUAGACAAGUACCGUGAGGGAAAGUUGAAAAGUACUCUGAAGAGAGAGUAAAUAGUACGUGAAGCCGAUUGCAGGGAAGCUGGUGGAGUCAAGCUUCAUGCUUGAGGGGUUGUUGAUUGGAGCAAUGUGUGUGUUGUGCACUCUUGUUGGUCAACUUGGAAUAAGUUGGGCGUAUUCGUACGUUUCAAGUCAUUCUGGGUUGAGUGUUUGAAGCCAGUAAUUGUGCGCUGCUCUUGUCAAUCUAUCCCUCGCUGCAUAAAUCACAGUCGAUAUUGGAGUGCCGCCUGUUUGUCUAACCGUACUGUGGUGGGCCUUGUGCUUGUCUGGUGCGGAAAGGCAGGUUAGAUCAAUGGACUUGUGUCAUUGUAUCUACAAAGAUUUGGUCGACUCUCAGGCAGUGUCUUUGAUAUCGUGAUUGAUUGGUACUGAAUCUUCGGAUCCAGUAU